RNAcentral lists this ribosomal RNA (429 nucleotides) under bacterium. RNAcentral's name for it is "partial 16S ribosomal RNA". It matches the Rfam family "Bacterial small subunit ribosomal RNA", at positions 355 to 776 of the family's 1533-position model. The record is from RNAcentral.
UAGGGAAUCUUCGGCAAUGGGGGCAACCCUGACCGAGCAACGCCGCGUGAGUGAAGAAGGUUUUCGGAUCGUAAAGCUCUGUUGUAAGAGAAGAACGUGUGUGAGAGUGGAAAGUUCACACAGUGACGGUAACUUACCAGAAAGGGACGGCUAACUACGUGCCAGCAGCCGCGGUAAUACGUAGGUCCCGAGCGUUGUCCGGAUUUAUUGGGCGUAAAGCGAGCGCAGGCGGUUUAAUAAGUCUGAAGUUAAAGGCAGUGGCUUAACCAUUGUUCGCUUUGGAAACUGUUAAACUUGAGUGCAGAAGGGGGGAGUGGAAUUCCAUGUGUAGCGGUGAAAUGCGUAGAUAUAUGGAGGAACACCGGUGGCGAAAGCGGCUCUCUGGUCUGUAACUGACGCUGAGGCCCGAAAGCGUGGGGAGCAAACAGG